AUUGAACGCUGGCGGCAUGCCUUACACAUGCAAGUCGAACGGCAGCACGGGUGCUUGCACCUGGUGGCGAGUGGCGAACGGGUGAGUAAUACAUCGGAACGUACCUUAUCGUGGGGGAUAACGCAGCGAAAGCUGUGCUAAUACCGCAUACGCCCUGAGGGGGAAAGCGGGGGAUCGCAAGACCUCGCGCGAUUAGAGCGGCCGAUGCCUGAUUAGCUUGUUGGUGGGGUAAAAGCCCACCAAGGCGACGAUCAGUAGCUGGUCUGAGAGGACGAUCAGCCACACUGGGACUGAGACACGGCCCAGACUCCUACGGGAGGCAGCAGUGGGGAAUUUUGGACAAUGGGGGCAACCCUGAUCCAGCAAUGCCGCGUGAGUGAAGAAGGCCUUCGGGUUGUAAAGCUCUUUUGUCAGGGAAGAAACACCGGCUCUAACACAGUCUGGGAAUGACGGUACCUGAAGAAUAAGCACCGGCUAACUACGUGCCAGCCGCCGCCGUAA
This 501-nucleotide ribosomal RNA is filed under the name uncultured bacterium. RNAcentral describes it as "partial 16S ribosomal RNA". It matches the Rfam family "Bacterial small subunit ribosomal RNA", at positions 30 to 523 of the family's 1533-position model. The record is from RNAcentral.